RNAcentral lists this unclassified non-coding RNA (1760 nucleotides) under Pectinophora gossypiella (pink bollworm). RNAcentral describes it as "multiple inositol polyphosphate phosphatase 1-like". The record is from RNAcentral. Lineage: Eukaryota; Metazoa; Arthropoda; Insecta; Lepidoptera; Gelechiidae.
UGCUUGAAUCACAGACGUAGCAACACAAGUUAUAAAUCGCGCUACAAAUAGAACACGAAACAAAAUUUAAAUAAUAAAAACUAUAAAAGGAAUAGUGUUAACUAUUUUUAAAUUUAAAAAAUAUAAAGCUUAACAAAUAAAAAUAACCUUUUAUUUUUAAUAAGUAAUAAAUUUUUUAAAAUAAAACUUAUUUUAUAAAAAUUAAAUAAAGUGUUCCAAAUUCAAAAUUUAUAUUAGUUUAGUACUUUAAAAAAUGUAUAGAAGCGUUUUAGUAGUUUCGUGUUUAUUAUCUCUAGUUGUAAGCGGAAGCGAAUUUAGUUGUUAUUUUAAUAAUGCGUGCCCUUUUCAAAUGUUCGGGUCAAAAACACCAUAUGAUACAGGCAGAGGCGAUUUAAGAGAUUUUAAGAAAUUGGAAGGUUGCGAAGCAGUUAGCCUGUGGUCGAUCCACCGGCACGGCAAUCGGAAUCCGGGCAGUUCAGUGACCGCGGCCGUCAAGGUCAUAGCUGGCUUGAAGGACCAGAUCGUGCAGGCCUUCGAUCAGGGGAGCAGCUUGUUGUGUGCUACGGACAUCGAUGAAUUUCGAAAAUGGACGUGGAACGAGACUUUAGAGACUACUCCGUCAUACCUCACCGGCGUUGGCUAUGAAGAACUCUACGGCAUCGGCUCCAGAAUCCGGGCCGCUUACCCUGAACUCCUGAAUGGGUCCACGGAAGACUAUUACUUCAGACCCACGAAUUACCAGCGGACAAUCACCAGUGCUAUGGGUUUUGUCCAUGGGUUGACUGAUGGAACAAGCUUGAAGGUAGCAAUUGAUGAGCCUCGGGAUGUGGACGAUGUCAUUCAACCAUAUGCAAAUUGCCAAAAAUAUCAAGAAACGGUCAGAGAUGCCCCUAUAUUGGAUAAAGUCGUUGCGGAGUUGGAAUCUUCCCCCGAUUAUGCUGCUAUCAGACACGCAGUACAGAAACGCCUGGGCAUCGCAUAUCAGAUCACUACAGAAGACGUAUUUUCCAUCUAUGAGCUGUGCCGGUUCUACCGAUCCUGGGAUGAGAAGAAGCAGUCGCCAUGGUGCUCUAUGUUCACUAAUGAAGAGCUGGUUAUACUUGACUACAGGGACGAUUUGAGGCAUUAUUAUCGGAAUGGCUACGGAUCUUGGGUGAACAGUCGUCUAGGAGAACAGCCUCUUAGAGACCUCUACCAGAAGCUAUCAGCAGCUACCCAGGGUCAGGGUCAAAAGAUAGUCUCGUACUUCUCCCACGAUGCCAUGAUGGAGAUGGUCUACUGCGCGUUGCAACUGUUCAAUGAUCGGGAACCACUCCGGGGAGAUAACAGGAAUCCUGAUAGACUUUGGAGGACAAGCUAUAUAGGAGCCAUGGCUAUUAAUAUGAUUACCGUUUUGAACAGGUGUCAAGAGUCGGGGACUGAAGCCUACAGAGUCCAGAUCUUCGUAGGCGAGAAGGUCACUGAACUUUGUCCCGUCGAGGGUUGCUCUUGGGAAGAAUUUGAACAUAUGUUUAAACAGUUCAAUGACACCAAUCUGAACUUCUGUGCCUUGGACUAUCCUGAACCGGAGGAUCCUAUGCCCUGCUGUUUACCUGACAGUGCUGCCGUCCAUAGUAUUAGCUGGGUUGUUUUAUUACUUUUGAUAGGGAUUUCUAGAUUCUGGUGACAUAUUUUAAAUAUACUAGUGAUAAAUGAGGUUUUAAUGAUUUGUAAAUUAAGUAUGUACGGUCACAAGCAUUAAUAUGUAUACACUUUGGUAC